This 3164-nucleotide long non-coding RNA is filed under the name Brassica napus (rape). RNAcentral describes it as "long non-coding RNA (BNAP_LNC008170)". Lineage: Eukaryota; Viridiplantae; Streptophyta; Magnoliopsida; Brassicales; Brassicaceae. The record is from RNAcentral.
GAGCGUGUCGAAUACGAGCUCUGGACCAACAGCAACGACCAGUGUGGAAAAAAGUGUGAUACUCAGAUUGAGCUUCUCAAGAACUUCAAAGGAGCAGCUCAGAUUCUUGAGAAAGGAGGGCAUACUCAGUUCACGCCGCACUACAUCACCUGGUACUGCCCUGAGGCUUUUACGCUGAGUAAACAGUGCAAGUCUCAGUGUAUCAACCAUGGGAGGUACUGUGCGCCUGAUCCUGAGCAGGAUUUUACUAAAGGGUACGAUGGGAAAGAUGUUGUGGUUCAGAAUCUGCGCCAGGCUUGUGUUUAUAGAGUGUUGAAUGAGACUGGUAAGCCUUGGGUUUGGUGGGACUAUGUGACUGACUUCGCCAUCAGGUGUCCGAUGAAGGAUAAGAAGUACACUAAGGAGUGUGCAGACGAGAUUAUCAAGUCCCUUGGUGAGUUAUAUUGCUUCUUGAGAUUAUGGUCUUUGCUCCUGUGAUAUUAAUUCUGGAUUCUCUUUCUGUUAUCGUGCAUUCAGACAUUGAUCUCAAGAAGGUGGACAAGUGUAUCGGAGACCCUGACGCAGAUGUGGAGAACCCUAUUCUUAAAGCAGAACAGGAGUCCCAGGUUUGUCUUCUUGUAACCAGUUGGCUCUACUCUUCUCUACUAGAUCUCUUGUAAUGAGUUUGUUUCAGGUUGGCAAAGGUUCCCGGGGAGAUGUGACAAUACUUCCAACUCUUGUAGUGAACAACAGACAAUACAGAGGUACUGAAGAACAGCUAACUUAUCAGUUCCCUUUCUACACUUUUUGUUACUAACUCAAAUAUAUUUCAUGGGCAUUUAGGUAAAUUGGAGAAAGGGGCAGUGCUGAAAGCUAUGUGUUCAGGCUUUCAAGAGUCAACAGAACCAGCUAUAUGUCUAACUGAAGGUUCCAUCUCCAUAUCUCAUUUCUUUUAACGUUUUGGUGACAUUGAGUGAUGACAUCGUCUUGAGAUCAGUUUCUGUUUGUUUUUUUUUUUUGCAGAUUUAAAUACUAAUGAAUGUUUGGAAAACAAUGGUGGGUGCUGGCAAGACAAAGCUUCCAACAUAACUGCAUGCAGGGUAUACCGUUUAGCUUUGCUAUUUUUAUCUCUUUUCCAGUAUUUGGUUUUGUUGUUGCUACUUAAGACUGAUUACUCUUUGUUUCAUCUGAAUUUGGCAUUUCAGGAUACGUAUAGGGGAAGAUUGUGUGAAUGCCCUACUGUUCAAGGUGUUAAAUUUGCUGGUGACGGUUACACUCACUGCAAAGGUAUAUCAAUUUAUCUCCCUGUAGCUUGACAUAUUUUUUUGUGGAACAGGACACAAACUCUGGCAUGGCUAUUCUAUUUCCUGUGUAUUGCCUGCUCUCAGUUCUUAACGUUUUUUUUUCUUUCUUGGCAGCGUCUGGAGCUUUGCAUUGUGGUAUCAACAAUGGAGGAUGCUGGAGAGAAACCAGAGGCAGCUACACUUACUCUGCUUGCGUAGUAAGUAUUUCGUCUUCUUUAUCAAUGACUAAUUCUUGAAACAAUCAUCUUCUUAACCUAUAGUAAAAUUUCUUUGGUUUUUUUGAAAUGGAAUUUUCAGGAUGAUCAUUCAAGUGAUUGCAAAUGCCCACUUGGGUUCAAGGGCGAUGGAGUAAAGAGCUGCGAAGGUACUUGUUUACUAGCAUCUAUAUUCAUGCGGUCUGCUUGCAUACAGAACUAAACCGUAUUCUUUUGAUUGAAUGUGGUAGAUGUGAACGAGUGCAAAGAGAAAACGGUUUGCCAGUGCGCAGACUGUAAAUGUAAAAACACAUGGGGAAGUUAUGAAUGCAGCUGCAAGAAUGGUUUGCUCUACAUGCGUGAACACGACACUUGCAUAGGUUAACAAAAGAGAGAUCUUCCUUCUGUCUUAAACCCAUACUUAAUGAAGAGUCAUUAAUCAAGCUUUGAUGCUUUUGAAUGUGUAGGUUCAAGCAAAGUUGGAACUACAAAGCUCAGCUGGAGCUUCUUGUGGGUUCUUAUAAUCGGAGUGGGUGUUGCAGGUCUUGCCGGAUAUGCCGUCUACAAAUACAGGAUCAGGGUAUGUGUCUCUCGUUAUCUUAAUGUACACACAUGAAGAUCUUGCCAUCUAGAUUAACAAAAGAAACUCCUUGUGCAGAGUUACAUGGAUGCGGAGAUAAGAGGUAUCAUGGCACAGUACAUGCCUUUGGAGAGCCAACCUACCCCAAGUGGUCCUCAUAUGGAUAUAUGAGGUGAAGUUGUCAACACAAACCAAGAGAGAGACUCUUUCCACGGGAAGCUUCUUUUGUGUUUCCAUGUAAAUGAAUCUAAUAGACUUGAGAGAAGCAACAAAAAAUAAUAAUUUAAGUGUAUCUGCACUUUUUGUAAGGGAUGUGGAUUACAGAUGGAAUCACUCAUUGUCUGCAUUACUCUUGCAAUGUAAAAUAAGACAUAAAUGGAUGAAUAAAUGAGUAGGAGAGUUGCAUCUAUAUACUACUGAAAAUUUUUUGUUUUAGUAUUUUGGGAAAAGAUCCAAUUUUUGGAACUGAAUGUGUGUUUCUUAUUGUGAACACAGACUGUUUCUUCACUUUGAAAGCAUGGAUAGCUCAACAAGCUGGAGCAGCAGCGAUUCUUGUAGCCGACAACAAAGCCGAGCCAUUGAUUACAAUGGACACACCCGAAGAAGACAAAUCCGAUGCAGACUAUCUCCAAAACAUCACCAUCCCUUCUGCUCUCAUCACCAAGUCUCUGGGAGACAGUUUAAAGUCUGCUCUCUCCAAGGGCGACAUGGUGAACAUGAAUCUAGACUGGACCGAGUCUGUUCCACACCCUGACGAGCGUGUGGAAUACGAGCUCUGGACCAACAGCAACGACCAGUGUGGAAAAAAGUGUGAUACUCAGAUUGAGUUUCUCAAGAACUUCAAAGGAGCUGCUCAGAUUCUUGAGAAAGGAGGGCAUACUCAGUUCACGCCGCACUACAUCACCUGGUACUGCCCUGAGGCUUUUACGCUGAGUAAACAGUGCAAGUCUCAGUGUAUCAACCAUGGGAGGUACUGUGCGCCUGAUCCUGAGCAGGAUUUUACUAAAGGGUACGAUGGGAAAGAUGUUGUGGUUCAGAAUCUGCGCCAGGCUUGUGUUUAUAGAGUGUUGAAUGAGACUGGUAAGCCUUGGGUUUGGUGGGACUAUG